RNAcentral lists this transfer RNA (62 nucleotides) under Ictidomys tridecemlineatus (thirteen-lined ground squirrel). RNAcentral's name for it is "Spermophilus tridecemlineatus (thirteen-lined ground squirrel) tRNA". It matches the Rfam family "tRNA", at positions 6 to 65 of the family's 71-position model. Rfam says of the family: Transfer RNA (tRNA) molecules are approximately 80 nucleotides in length. Their secondary structure includes four short double-helical elements and three loops (D, anti-codon, and T loops). Lineage: Eukaryota; Metazoa; Chordata; Mammalia; Rodentia; Sciuridae. The record is from Rfam by way of RNAcentral.
UGUAGCUCAGUGGUAGAGAGCUUGCCUAGCACACAGGAAAGCCCUGGGUUCAAUCCCCAGCA